This 118-nucleotide ribosomal RNA is filed under the name Castor canadensis (American beaver). The record is from RNAcentral. Lineage: Eukaryota; Metazoa; Chordata; Mammalia; Rodentia; Castoridae.
GUCUGUGGCCAUACCACCCUAAAUAUUCCCAAUCUUGUCUGGUCUUGGAAGCUAAGCAAGGCUGGGCCUGAUUAGUACUUGGAUGGAAGACAAAUGUUCAGAACAGACUGCUCAGAGA